UACGUAGGGGGCGAGCGUUGUCCGGAAUUACUGGGCGUAAAGGGUGCGUAGGCGGUCUGGUAAGUUGGAUGUGAAAUACCCGGGCUUAACUUGGGUGCUGCAUCCAAUACUGUCGGACUUGAGUGCAGGAGAGGAAAGCGGAAUUCCUAGUGUAGCGGUGAAAUGCGUAGAUAUUAGGAGGAACACCAGUGGCGAAGGCGGCUUUCUGGACUGUAACUGACGCUGAGGCACGAAAGCGUGGGGAG
Molecule: ribosomal RNA, 245 nt
Filed under: uncultured Eubacteriales bacterium
Lineage: Bacteria; Bacillati; Bacillota; Clostridia; Eubacteriales
Description: uncultured Clostridiales bacterium partial 16S ribosomal RNA
Rfam family: Bacterial small subunit ribosomal RNA
Source: RNAcentral